GAACUAGCAGAGAUCUGCCUACCUCUUAGUCCGGAAUCCUGGCAUUAAAGGUUUAUGUGGUGGAAAUUCGUGCCCCACGUUGUUUGUGGCCAAUUUGAAAUGUGAAGUUCUUGGCCCAUGUUUGGCCCACCUCUCUUCUC
Molecule: long non-coding RNA, 140 nt
Organism: Mesocricetus auratus (golden hamster)
Lineage: Eukaryota; Metazoa; Chordata; Mammalia; Rodentia; Cricetidae
Exons: 2
Source: RefSeq, a predicted model, not a curated record